GGGGACGACUGGUUUUGACAGCAAGGUCAGUGAUAAUGUAAGCAUACCGAGGAGUGAAGAGAUUACUCGUUAAACUUUUUUCAACUUUUUAAACGGCGAAGAUAACUACGCUUUAGCUGCUUAAUCCGAAUUAUAGUAGGAUUGGCCUAGGCACACAAGGUGUGCAAGCUUUAUGUCCACGAACAGCCUUGGUUUACGGCGUUUCACUUUUGGGCAUCGUAAAAGUAAACAUAGAAAACUUGAAACUUUGGCUAGUUUUCGAAACUAAAGAAGAUAAGCUUUUAACAGAUUGUUCUUAAUCAGUUAUAAGUCGAAAAUUAAGAAAGAACUAAGUAUGUAGAAAGCCUUUGAGCUGCUUGUUUGGACCCGAGUUCGAUUCUCGGCGUCUCCACUU
This is a non-coding RNA of Tenacibaculum soleae, 394 nucleotides long. It matches the Rfam family "transfer-messenger RNA". From Rfam's summary of the family: Bacterial tmRNA, also known as 10Sa RNA or SsrA, is named for its dual tRNA and mRNA-like properties. The record is from Rfam. Lineage: Bacteria; Pseudomonadati; Bacteroidota; Flavobacteriia; Flavobacteriales; Flavobacteriaceae.